RNAcentral lists this ribosomal RNA (433 nucleotides) under uncultured bacterium. RNAcentral describes it as "partial 16S ribosomal RNA". It matches the Rfam family "Bacterial small subunit ribosomal RNA", at positions 29 to 507 of the family's 1533-position model. The record is from RNAcentral.
AACGAACGCUGGCGGCAUGCCUAACACAUGCAAGUCGAACGAGACCUUCGGGUCUAGUGGCGCACGGGUGCGUAACGCGUGGGAACCUGCCCUUAGGUUCGGAAUAACUCACCGAAAGGGGUCCUAAUACCGGAUAAUGUCUUCCGACCAAAGAUUUAUCGCCUUUGGCUGGGCCCGCGUUGGAUUCGCUAGUUGGUAGGGUAAAAGCCUACCAAGGCGACGAUCCAUAGCUGGUCUGUGAGGAUGAUCAGCCACACUGGGACUGAGACACGGCCCAGACUCCUACGGGAGGGAGGAGUGGGGAAUAUUGGACGAUGGGCGAAAGUCUGAUCCAGCAAUGCCGCGGGAGUGAUGAAGGGCUUAGGGUUGUAAAGCUCUUUUACCCGGGAUGAUAAUGACGGUACCGGGAGAAUAAGCUCCGGCUAACUACGUG